Molecule: ribosomal RNA, 253 nt
Filed under: uncultured bacterium
Lineage: Bacteria
Description: partial 16S ribosomal RNA
Rfam family: Bacterial small subunit ribosomal RNA
Source: RNAcentral
UACGGAGGGUGCAAGCGUUAUCCGGAUUCACUGGGUUUAAAGGGUGCGUAGGAGGACUGGUAAGUCAGUGGUGAAAUCCCCGAGCUUAACUUGGGAACUGCCGUUGAUACUAUCAGUCUUGAAUACCGUGGAGGUGAGCGGAAUAUGUCAUGUAGCGGUGAAAUGCUUAGAUAUGACAUAGAACACCAAUUGCGAAGGCGGCUCGCUACACGAAUAUUGACUCUGAGGCACGAAAGCGUGGGGAUCAAACAGG